RNAcentral lists this ribosomal RNA (703 nucleotides) under uncultured bacterium. RNAcentral describes it as "bacterial SSU rRNA". It matches the Rfam family "Bacterial small subunit ribosomal RNA", at positions 1 to 744 of the family's 1533-position model. The record is from RNAcentral.
UAGAGUUUGAUCAUGGCUCAGGAUGAACGCUGGCGGUAUGCCUAACACAUGCAAGUCGUACGAGAGUUUUUAACUCUAGUGGCGGACGGGUGAGUAACACGUGAGAAUUUGCCUUUAGGAGGGGGAUAACAAUUGGAAACGAAUGCUAAUACCCCAUAUGCUUUCGAGUGAAAUGGAUUUAUAUUUAUCCGCCUAGAGAGAAGCUCGCGGCUGAUUAGCUUGUUGGUAAGGUAAGAGCUUACCAAGGCGACGAUCAGUAUCUGGUUUGAGAGGACGAUCAGACACACUGGAACUGAGACACGGUCCAGACUCCUACGGGAGGCAGCAGCGGGGAAUUUUCCGCAAUGGGCGAAAGCCUGACGGAGCAAUACCGCGUGAGGGAAGACUGCCUAUGGGUUGUAAACCUCUUUUUUCAGGGAGGAAUCAAUGACGUGUACCUGAAGAAUAAGCAUCGGCUAACUCCGUGCCAGCAGCCGCGGUAAGACGGAGGAUGCAAGUGUUAUCCGGAAUCACUGGGCGUAAAGCGUCUGUAGGUGGUUUAAUAAGUCAACUGUUAAAUCUUGAGGCUCAACUUCAAAAUCGCAGUCGAAACUAUUAGACUAGAGUAUAGUAGAGGUAAAGGGAAUUUCCAGUGGAGCGGUGAAAUGCGUAGAUAUUGGAAAGAACACCGAUGGCGAAAGCACUUUACUGGGCUAUUACUAAC